RNAcentral lists this ribosomal RNA (253 nucleotides) under uncultured bacterium. RNAcentral describes it as "partial 16S ribosomal RNA". It matches the Rfam family "Bacterial small subunit ribosomal RNA", at positions 524 to 776 of the family's 1533-position model. The record is from RNAcentral.
UACGUAGGGGGCAAGCGUUGUCCGGAUUUAUUGGGCGUAAAGAGCGUGUAGGCGGCCAUGCAGGUCAGCUGUGAAAACUCGAGGCUCAACCUCGAGACGUCGGUUGAAACCGUAUGGCUAGAGUCCGGAAGAGGAGAGUGGAAUUCCCGGUGUAGCGGUGAAAUGCGCAGAUAUCGGGAAGAACACCCGUGGCGAAGGCGGCUCUCUGGGACGGUACUGACGCUGAGACGCGAAAGCGUGGGGAUCGAACAGG